AUCCAGCUGACGAGUCCCAAAUAGGACGGUACGCGCGUCCUGGAU
Molecule: non-coding RNA, 45 nt
Organism: Schistosoma mansoni
Lineage: Eukaryota; Metazoa; Platyhelminthes; Trematoda; Strigeidida; Schistosomatidae
Source: Rfam